UACGUAGGGCGCAAGCGUUAUCCGGAAUUAUUGGGCGUAAAGAGCUCGUAGGCGGUUUGUCGCGUCUGCCGUGAAAGUCCGGGGCUCAACCUCGGACUUGCAGUGGGUACGGGCAGACUAGAGUGUGGUAGGGGAGACUGGAAUUCCUGGUGUAGCGGUGGAAUGCGCAGAUAUCGGAAGGAACACCAGUGGCGAAGGCGGCUACCUGGACAAAUACUGACGCUGAGGCGCGAAAGCGUGGGGAUCAAACAGG
RNAcentral lists this ribosomal RNA (253 nucleotides) under uncultured bacterium. RNAcentral's name for it is "partial 16S ribosomal RNA". It matches the Rfam family "Bacterial small subunit ribosomal RNA", at positions 524 to 776 of the family's 1533-position model. The record is from RNAcentral.